Molecule: long non-coding RNA, 6958 nt
Organism: Homo sapiens (human)
Lineage: Eukaryota; Metazoa; Chordata; Mammalia; Primates; Hominidae
Exons: 2
Source: RefSeq, a predicted model, not a curated record
GAGUCGGGAACAACGGCGCCUCGGAGCAGCAUCCCUGCAACCACGAUCCUGAUGGGUGUUGGGAAGAGAAAAUGUGCUUUUCCGAAAAAACCUAAAAAUCGUGGCUCUUGUUAUUCUGUUCCCUGUAGUGGAUCAACUGAAGCUCAGUUGGGUGAGUGUUCAAAGGCUUUGAGGCUUCUGAAGCCCGACCUAUGAGUCACGGCUGCCCUUGGAGGUGCCCUCAGUCUGCCCUAAGCGCGAGGCCCUGCUCACCUGUCAUAGGCACAGUGCGUGGGUGUAGCUGUGGUGUCAGCGCUGUCGGGGAUCAGCCACUGGAAGGUGGGGCUUGUCCACAGGCGGAUGGAUGACCACUGGGAGGGUCUCACAUAGCUGCAGCCCGCAUUGAAGUCGCCCAUCAACAUGACGUCCUACCAGGAAACGCUGCCUGUGGCCCUGGGACAUGCGGAGGCCGCUGGUGCCCACUGCCCCUGGGAGGGCCUCACCUCCAAGCCCCAUUUCUCUUGGACAUCCAGGUAGACGUCAUAGAGAGCGUCGAUCUCGGCUACUGCGUCCCCCGGGGCCGCAUGCAGGGGAACAAUGGCAAACUCCCUGACCUCUGUGGAGACAGCCACGUCGUGUGAGGCACACUCCCUGGGGGCAGGUUCAGUCACCAUGUCAGCUGGAACUAUGUAUCAUGACAGUCCCCCCGGGGGGUGGAUAUUUUCCAAAUGACUUGAAUGGAAAACCCAAGCCCCAGGGACUGGGAGGGCAGUGUGUGACACAGGCAUUCCAGGUUCCCUAGGAGGGGGUGGAGGCCAUAAGCGCCAAGCCGAGCCCCACCCUGGCCCAGGCAGCACCCACCUGUGAACCGGGAGAAGAACCUGACAAUGGCUGGCUCUCGGUUGAAGGUGUCGUUCCCGCAGGGCUCGCAGCCAUCAUCGUAGUAGUAGCUGUCCACCGCAGACACCUGGUCAGGCCUGCGGGAAGGCCGGGCAGGAGGAGGUGACCCCAGGCUGGAAGCUGCCCCACUCCUGCUUCCCAGGAGGCAGGCGUCGCGUCCCAGGCGACAGGAGGGCGGGGGAGCCAGGCACCUGCUCAACCCAUUGGUCCGGGACCCAGGCGACAGGAGGGCGGGGGAGCCAGGCACCUGCUCAACCCAUUGGUCCGGGACCCAGGCGACAGGAGGGCGGGGGAGCCAGGCACCUGCUCAACCCAUUGGUCCGGGACCCAGGCGACAGGAGGGCGGGGGAGCCAGGCACCUGCUCAACCCAUUGGUCCGGGACCUUGGGGUGUUUUCACUCCACCCUGGACCCUGCUCUGAAGCCUCAGGUUCUUGCCAUAGGACAAACUAAUAGGACAAACUACUUCCCUGCUCUGUUGGGGCCCUCCCAGGUGAGGGAGGGGCUUCCUGGCUUUCUAGACCACCCACCUGUACACGAACAGGUAGCGCUCCUUAUAGCUGUUCCGUCCCAGUGGCUCACUGACCACGUAGUGAUAGGUGUCUGGUGCAUCCCUGGAUUGAAGAAACAAAAGGUCCCAGUGGCGGGGGCCAUAGGGGACCCCUCUGGCUGCCGAUAGCGAGGCUGUGCCCAGGUCCCCACCCUUGGGGCCCAAGUGAAGUGAGGCUGUGCCGUGGACGAGAUGUCACCUUCCUAUGACCCUGCCACUGUCACCCACUGAUUGAGGUUGUCCAGCAGCUUCCCCACGGCAGUCAGGUGGCUGUCUCUGACCUCCUGGACCAGGGCGAUGUCAUAGCGGCUCAGGAUCUGGGGGCAGGGCCACAGUGGUGCUGAGCAGGGCUGGUGCCACCCAGGGACCCUACAGCGCCACAAAGGGAGCCACAGCUGAUGCUCGUGGCAUUGCUCGGUUUAACCGCAGCCUCAUGUUUCUGCCUGGGCUCCUGCUGCCAGCCAGGGACAGCACAGCAGGGAUGAGGACCUUGGUCCACAGCCAAGAGCCUGUUCCACCGUGCUGGGAGCAGUGGUGCUCAGUACCCCACACCCGACACCCUGUGGCUCCAUAGGGCUGGCCCUGCCCACCAGCCCUAGACUCCAGAGCUCCUCUGCUUUUGGGGGGAGGCUGCCCUGGCCUCACCUGCACAAUGUAGCUGACGAGGGUGGCAUUGGACAUCUUGGUCUCCCCAAAUGUCUGGAUGUUGAAGGCUGCGAUCUUCAGGGACACGGCCCCCUGCAGUAGGGCCGCCAGUGCCAGCAGCGCCCCCAGCAGCUUCAUGCCCCUCAUCCUGGGAGAGCACAGGGCACAGAGACAUAACAGAAGUGAGACGUCAUCCCUGCCACAGCACUCCAGCCUUCUGGAGCCCAGCUGGCAGGGGCUGGUGGAGCUCAAGGUCAGGGGGACGCAGGCGGGGGAAACCCUUUCCUACAACGUCCAGAAAGCCAAACAGCUGGCACCACGUAGAGGACCCCGAGUCACUCCUCCAUCCACCAGAAAACCCGCCCGGGAGGGACGCUGGAGCCUCCGCCUCACUCGCUGCUGGAGGAUGAGACUCUAAGCCUCCCUCCCUGCUCCAAACCGGCCAGUCACCCAGAGGCACUCCACCUGGUGCUCACCUGAGAUGAUGGUGAUGUCCUCAGAGAUGACGAGAAUGCUGUCAAGAAUCUGGAAUAUCCUUUGAUGACAAUUUUCUCCUUUUGCUGCUUAAAGAAAAAAAAGUAGUCUAUGAAGAAAGGUCUCUGAAGAAGCACUUCAAGGCCCUGGCAGUGCUGCUGGGCUCCGGAUCCUGCACAGGCAGUGCGUGUCUGGGAGUUUUAAAAGUUCAGGCAGCUGUGACCUUCCCUGGGGCAAAUGUGAGCCGUCACCUGAGAGUGCAGAAAACAAUGGCUCUGUGUGGCUUUCCGCAUAGGUGGGUUGCUAGCACGUGUUUCUUUCUGUAAGCACAGGUUUCUUGCUGCUGUAAAAACUGCACCUGAUAAUCACGUUUGCACUUAGUUUUAAAAUGUCUGAUAACAAGGCCAAAGGUUCCUAUCCCGUGUCCCUUGCACGUGUGGUGGCCCCCAUCUUCCAGGAUAGGGCAGGGAUGGGCCAGGUAUGUGCGGGAGGGUGGGGCUGGGCUCCAGUCUCCCUGUCUCUUGUCUGGGGGCCCCAAGGUCACUUUGGACAAAGAGGCCAAAGCCACAUCCAAAGUUGCAAAUGGAGCCCCCUGGUGGCUGACAGCCAUGACUGCUCUGUGGCCCAGGACACGCCUGCCUUCCUGAUUCAUCGCCAUCAGGUGCAGGCAACUCUGCAGGAGGCUGGGGAGCUCGGAACAAGCAGUGGUGGGGGCCUGCAGCACCAGCGCCGUGGGGCCAGGACAGGUGGGGCCUGCAAAGCCCACCCCAAUUGCCAGCCAAGCAGUGGGGAGCCUUCUUGAGGUAGACAAUAGGCUGUGUGUUUAGGCCCAGGGGAUCCCGAGUGACCAGGUCACAAGGGCAGGGCAGCAGCUAAAGGCCAGGCCUCAGGUCCAGUAAUUUCUUGGUUCUUUUGUUUUGGGUUUUUAUUGUUUUUGAGACAGGGUCUCACACUGUGUUGCCAAGGCUGGAGUGCAGUGGCACAAUCAUGGCUCAUUAUAGCCUCAACCGCCAGGGCUCAGAUAAUCCUCCCUCCUCAGCCUCCUGAGUAGCUAAGACUAUGGGUACGGCACCAUGCCUGGCUAAUUUUUAAAUUUUUUUGGUAGAGAUGGGGUCUUGCUCUUUUGUCCAGACUGGUCUUGAACUCCUGGCUUCAGGCAAUCCUCCGGCGUAGCCAGGACCACAGGUGCAUGCUACCAUGCUCAGUUUUUUUUUUUUUUUUUUUUUUUUUUUUUUUUUUUGAGGCGGAAUCUUGCUCUGCUGCCCAGCCUGGAGUGCAGUAAUACUAUCUCGGCUCACUGCAACCUCUGCUUCCUGGGUUCAAGCAAUUCUUCUGCCUCAGCCUCCCGAGUAGCUGGGAUUACAGGCACGCACCACCACACCCGGCUAAUUUUUGUAUUUUUAGUAGAGACAGGGUUUCACCAUGUUGGUCACACUGGUCUCAAACUCGUGACCUUGUGAUCCGCCUGCCUCGGCCUCCCAAAGUGCUGGGAUUACAGGCGUGAGCCAUCGCACCCAGCCUAUUUUUUAAGUUUCUCACAGACACAAGGUCUCCAAGUCCUGAGCCCAAGCAAUCUUCCCGCAAAUGCUGGGAUUACAAGUGUGAGCCACCGCACCCCGCCACUCAUUUCUUGGAAUCUUUGACUUUCCAUUCGUAUUCAUUUCCUGAGACUGGUGAAACUACCACAAGUUUGGUUGCUUAAAAUAACAGAAAUGGAUCCUCUCAAAAUUCCGGAGACUGGACGUCUGAAGUCAGGGAGUCAGUAGGACCUUGCGCCUCCUGGAGGCUCCGGGCGGUUGGGGGAUGCUCCUUGCCCUCCAGUUUCUGCAGGCUGCCAGCAAUCCUUGGCUUUCCUUAGUUGUGGCUGCAUCACCCCAGUCUCUGCCUCUUCUUCUUAAGAUCUGUGCACCUGCAUUUGGGGUCCUCCCAGAGAGCAGGGAGGAUGUCCUUAUCUCAACAGCCUUUACUCACAUCUGCAAGUCCUUUUUUGCUACAAAAAUCAACAUUCAGAGGUUCCAGGGCUAGGGCACAGCUAUCUUUUGAGCCACCCCUGGGUCUUGCCCACUUGGAAGGGGCUGUGCUGGCCCUCCAAGGACAGCCCUGCACGUAGCAUCUGUGGUCCCCCUGGGGGAGGAGGGCCUGGAAGGCUUGGCAGAAGUCCAGGCGGGAUUCAGGUAUGAGAACUGCAGGAAAUGAAUACAAAUGGGGUCUGCAGGAGGCCUCAACGGCAAGAGUCAGCAGGGGCCAAGGUCGAAAGUCAGGAAAGUGCUCGGUCUGGCCAGCUGGCCAUGAAGCAGAAGGCAGGCCCAGUGGGGACUAGAAACAGGAAGGUAAACCACCCUCCACAAGACUGGCACCCCAUUCCAUAAAGACACGCCAACAGACGCCUCUGGCUGGCAGCACUGGUGCACUCAUCUGUCCCUCCUAUUGAGACGGCGUCUACCAGAUGGAAACACCACCACUCCUCAGGCUGCCAGAGGCCCCAUUGCAGGCUUUUCCAAAGGUUUCAGCAAUGGUUCUUCCCUGUUUUUAAUCUCUAAGUCUAGGACAGCCUCCAGCACGUCAAAACCCAGCCCCCAAGCAAGGCCACCGGAGUAUUCGGUGUAGGGACUAGUCCUCUGCCUUUGGUGUUUGCCUUUCCUGGACACACAUCUGACAGCGACCCAUCACGGGGAAGGGAGUAAAGCUAGAGGGCGGCCACUGUCCUCCACCAAGAAACUGCCUGGUGCAGCUUCCGGCGGGGCACAGGGACACCAAUUAUAGCUCACAGAGCAAGUGCCCAACCCCCUACGUGUGCUCAGCACGUGGGACGAGGGUUCCCCUCUGGUCUGUCAUCCCCUCCUGGCUCUUGACCAAAUGCUGCCCCAUCUGCUUUCAGGAACUCCCAGGCAUAGUGCCCCUGCUUCCUCUACCUGCCAGAAGGAAGGCUGGAACUUGGGCCUCGCUUGUACAAAUGGCGAGUGCUGCCUGCUGUGUGGCUGCCCUCAGGACGGGCUUUGGUGAGGGCAGCACAGCCCUGGAGGAGCCUGGUCUGACAUGGGGCCCGUCUGGGAUCACUGUUGGGCCUUCAACCGUCUGGAGCCUCUAUGUCUUCCUCUGAUAGAUUCCCAGAACAAUCAUUUCACCUUCUAAGAAGCCAUCCUGCCCCUGCAGCCUGUGGCUUGUGGAGUCUCCAGCACUCUCACUUCUCCCUCGUGGAUCUCUUUUCUGUCUGUGUCAGUCAAUGCUGCCAUGUAACAGCCACCUGCAAACUCAGUGUAUACACAUGCAUUUCUCUCACACUGCCAGGUCUGCUGGGGUGGCUCUGCUGCCUGGGCCUCGUCCUGGGGCUGGGCUGGAGAGACUGCAGCUCCCUGGGCACCCUCUUCCCACAGUGUGGAAGGUGGAGGCUCCCAGGGCACAAGCAGAACACGUGCCGCCCUAAGGCCAAGGCGGAGCUGGCUGCUGUCGCUUCUGCCCACAUUCCAUGGGUGCUGUCGAGCUGUAGGUCCAAGCCCCACAUCAGGGGAGUGAGUGGGGUACAAUCCUCCCAUGCUGGGCCCCACUCUGGAGAUAGGCCUGGGGAAUGCCCAAGAAGGAAGCCCAGCCCUUCUGGGAUUUUCACAUCCACAGAGAAUGGGUGCUGGCAGCCAACGGCAACGAGGAGAAAAGCUGACCGCCUUCUCAGAUCAGGAUGAGGUGUUUUUACACCAACCCCGAGGAUCUGCAGCCUUCUCAGGUUAAAUUAAACCUGUCACAGACACAGGAAGGGAAAAGAGCACAUAACAACAAUUAUAUUGACAUCUAAGCCAGGUCACAUGCUCUGAUUUGGCUGAAAUUACAGGAUAAAGGAAAAAUCCUAUAGGCACCAUGGCUGGAAACAAAUGGCCUCAAAGGAACGCUGGUGGCCGUGGCUUUGUGCAACGACAGCCAGUGUUGUGUGACCCAGCGACGUGCAGGCCAGGGAGGGUACCCUUCUACUGAUCAAGAGGGAAAGCGGGAAGGACGCACAGCUGUGGUUUCCAACCUGCACGGAGGCACCCCCAUGAACUCACAGAGCACCAUCAGAUCCUUCUGAAUUUUGAAGGAAGCAAUGAUACUCUGCUCUGCUCAAGGCCAUUCAUGGUCUCAACAUUAACGUUACCUUGCUUUAUAGGGUAUCUUCCCUCUCUCUGCCAGGCUGGGUUGUGGCAGUCACUGAACAAGCAAUUACUGUGAAGGUCGACGUGGAAAAAUGAGGCAAUGAGGGUGGCGGUGUUCUACCAGAUUCCAAGUUGAAGAGGUGCUCGACAGGCACACACAUCCCAUGACUAAACAAAUAACAUGAACAUUUCUCUUUAUGUAUUACUUUUCUAGACAUCCACUAUAAGUUGCCAGGACACAAAUGCUUAUUAUUGGGGUUUACUUAUUUAAUAAAUGGAACUGUGGGGGA